CAACUUCUCAAGAGUUGACCUCGGAUCA
Molecule: ribosomal RNA, 28 nt
Filed under: Cordyceps gunnii
Lineage: Eukaryota; Fungi; Ascomycota; Sordariomycetes; Hypocreales; Cordycipitaceae
Description: partial 28S ribosomal RNA
Source: RNAcentral